GGAAUUUUGGACAAUGGGCGCAAGCCUGAUCCAGCAAUGCCGCGUGCAGGAUGAAGGCCUUCGGGUUGUAAACUGCUUUUGUACGGAGCGAAAAGGCUUCCACUAAUACUGGAGGCUCAUGACGGUACCGUAAGAAUAAGCACCGGCUAACUACGUGCCAGCAGCCGCGGUAAUACGUAGGGUGCAAGCGUUAAUCGGAAUUACUGGGCGUAAAGCGUGCGCAGGCGGUCUUGUAAGACAGGUGUGAAAUCCCCGGGCUUAACCUGGGAACUGCACUUGUGACUGCAAGGCUGGAGUACGGCAGAGGGGGAUGGAAUUCCGCGUGUAGCAGUGAAAUGCGUAGAUAUGCGGAGGAACACCGAUGGCGAAGGCAAUCCCCUGGGCCUGUACUGACGCUCAUGCACGAAAGCGUGGGGAGCAAACA
RNAcentral lists this ribosomal RNA (424 nucleotides) under uncultured bacterium. RNAcentral describes it as "bacterial SSU rRNA". It matches the Rfam family "Bacterial small subunit ribosomal RNA", at positions 358 to 774 of the family's 1533-position model. The record is from RNAcentral.